GUUAUAUGGUCAAGUGAAGAAGCGCAUACGGUGGAUGCCUUGGCAGUCAGAGGCGAUGAAAGACGUGGUAGCCUGCGAAAAGCUUCGGGGAGUCGGCAAACAGACUUUGAUCCGGAGAUCUCUGAAUGGGGGAACCCACCUAGGAUAACCUAGGUAUCUUGUACUGAAUCCAUAGGUGCAAGAGGCGAACCAGGGGAACUGAAACAUCUAAGUACCCUGAGGAAAAGAAAUCAACCGAGAUUCCCUUAGUAGUGGCGAGCGAACGGGGAUUAGCCCUUAAGCUUCAUUGAUUUUAGCGGAACGCUCUGGAAAGUGCGGCCAUAGUGGGUGAUAGCCCCGUACGCGAAAGGAUCUUUGAAGUGAAAUCGAGUAGGACGGAGCACGAGAAACUUUGUCUGAACAUGGGGGGACCAUCCUCCAAGGCUAAAUACUACUGACUGACCGAUAGUGAACCAGUACCGUGAGGGAAAGGCGAAAAGAACCCCGGAGAGGGGAGUGAAAUAGAACCUGAAACCGUAUGCGUACAAGCAGUGGGAGCCUACUUGUUAGGUGACUGCGUACCUUUUGUAUAAUGGGUCAGCGACUUAUAUUCAGUGGCAAGCUUAACCGUAUAGGGUAGGCGUAGCGAAAGCGAGUCUUAAUAGGGCGUUUAGUCGCUGGGUAUAGACCCGAAACCGGGCGAUCUAUCCAUGAGCAGGUUGAAGGUUAGGUAACACUGACUGGAGGACCGAACCCACUCCCGUUGAAAAGGUAGGGGAUGACUUGUGGAUCGGAGUGAAAGGCUAAUCAAGCUCGGAGAUAGCUGGUUCUCCUCGAAAGCUAUUUAGGUAGCGCCUCAUGUAUCACUCUGGGGGGUAGAGCACUGUUUCGGCUAGGGGGUCAUCCCGACUUACCAAACCGAUGCAAACUCCGAAUACCCAGAAGUGCCGAGCAUGGGAGACACACGGCGGGUGCUAACGUCCGUCGUGAAAAGGGAAACAACCCAGACCGCCAGCUAAGGUCCCAAAGUUGUGGUUAAGUGGUAAACGAUGUGGGAAGGCUUAGACAGCUAGGAGGUUGGCUUAGAAGCAGCCACCCUUUAAAGAAAGCGUAAUAGCUCACUAGUCGAGUCGGCCUGCGCGGAAGAUGUAACGGGGCUCAAACCACACACCGAAGCUGCGGGUGUCACGUAAGUGACGCGGUAGAGGAGCGUUCUGUAAGCCUGUGAAGGUGAGUUGAGAAGCUUGCUGGAGGUAUCAGAAGUGCGAAUGCUGACAUGAGUAACGACAAUGGGUGUGAAAAACACCCACGCCGAAAGACCAAGGGUUCCUGCGCAACGUUAAUCGACGCAGGGUUAGUCGGUUCCUAAGGCGAGGCUGAAAAGCGUAGUCGAUGGGAAACAGGUUAAUAUUCCUGUACUUCUGGUUACUGCGAUGGAGGGACGGAGAAGGCUAGGCCAGCUUGGCGUUGGUUGUCCAAGUUUAAGGUGGUAGGCUGAAAUCUUAGGUAAAUCCGGGGUUUCAAGGCCGAGAGCUGAUGACGAGUCGUCUUUUAGAUGACGAAGUGGUUGAUGCCAUGCUUCCAAGAAAAGCUUCUAAGCUUCAGGUAACCAGGAACCGUACCCCAAACCGACACAGGUGGUCGGGUAGAGAAUACCAAGGCGCUUGAGAGAACUCGGGUGAAGGAACUAGGCAAAAUGGCACCGUAACUUCGGGAGAAGGUGCGCCGGCUAGGGUGAAGGAUUUACUCCGUAAGCUCUGGCUGGUCGAAGAUACCAGGCCGCUGCGACUGUUUAUUAAAAACACAGCACUCUGCAAACACGAAAGUGGACGUAUAGGGUGUGACGCCUGCCCGGUGCCGGAAGGUUAAUUGAUGGGGUUAGCGCAAGCGAAGCUCUUGAUCGAAGCCCCGGUAAACGGCGGCCGUAACUAUAACGGUCCUAAGGUAGCGAAAUUCCUUGUCGGGUAAGUUCCGACCUGCACGAAUGGCGUAACGAUGGCGGCGCUGUCUCCACCCGAGACUCAGUGAAAUUGAAAUCGCUGUGAAGAUGCAGUGUAUCCGCGGCUAGACGGAAAGACCCCGUGAACCUUUACUGUAGCUUUGCACUGGACUUUGAGCCUGCUUGUGUAGGAUAGGUGGGAGGCUUUGAAGCGUGGACGCCAGUUCGCGUGGAGCCAUCCUUGAAAUACCACCCUGGCAUGCUUGAGGUUCUAACUCUGGUCCGUAAUCCGGAUCGAGGACAGUGUAUGGUGGGCAGUUUGACUGGGGCGGUCUCCUCCUAAAGAGUAACGGAGGAGUACGAAGGUGCGCUCAGACCGGUCGGAAAUCGGUCGCAGAGUAUAAAGGCAAAAGCGCGCUUGACUGCGAGACAGACACGUCGAGCAGGUACGAAAGUAGGUCUUAGUGAUCCGGUGGUUCUGUAUGGAAGGGCCAUCGCUCAACGGAUAAAAGGUACUCCGGGGAUAACAGGCUGAUACCGCCCAAGAGUUCAUAUCGACGGCGGUGUUUGGCACCUCGAUGUCGGCUCAUCACAUCCUGGGGCUGAAGCCGGUCCCAAGGGUAUGGCUGUUCGCCAUUUAAAGUGGUACGCGAGCUGGGUUUAGAACGUCGUGAGACAGUUCGGUCCCUAUCUGCCGUGGACGUUUGAGAUUUGAGAGGGGCUGCUCCUAGUACGAGAGGACCGGAGUGGACGAACCUCUGGUGUUCCGGUUGUCACGCCAGUGGCAUUGCCGGGUAGCUAUGUUCGGAAAAGAUAACCGCUGAAAGCAUCUAAGCGGGAAACUUGCCUCAAGAUGAGAUCUCACUGGGAACUUGACUCCCCUGAAGGGCCGUCGAAGACUACGACGUUGAUAGGCUGGGUGUGUAAGCGUUGUGAGGCGUUGAGCUAACCAGUACUAAUUGCCCGUGAGGCUUGACCAUAUAACACCCAAACA
Molecule: ribosomal RNA, 2912 nt
Filed under: Pseudomonas aeruginosa
Lineage: Bacteria; Pseudomonadati; Pseudomonadota; Gammaproteobacteria; Pseudomonadales; Pseudomonadaceae
Description: bacterial LSU rRNA
Rfam family: Bacterial large subunit ribosomal RNA
Source: RNAcentral